CGACGCCGCCGCCCCAGCCGCCUCCCCGACCGGCACCGCUGCUGCACCCGCCUCCGCCGCAACCAGAGUCUACGCCGCCGGAUCCGUGGCCGCCGUCGCCGUCGCGGCAUGGCUCUUGCACUAGAUCUGCUCACUUCCGGAUGACGUCACGGCUUGGUUUUUGGCUCACAUCAGCAGAGAAGGUUGCGGAUCUCCUCGUAUUUUUAGGGUUAGGAAAAUAAUUUAUUAUUAUUAUUAUUAUUGUUAUUAUAUUCGAACGGAAUUUAUUUUAGUGGAUUUUAGAGAAUUUAUGAUUCGGUGAUUAGAGAUUGAUGGACGGUGUUGAUUUGGUUGUACGGUGGUUUCUGCGGUGAAUGAUGAUGAUGAUGAUGAUGAUGACAUUAUUUGAUUACUAUUAUUUGUGGCUCUGUUAUUAAUUAUUAAUAUUACUGCGGAUUUUAUGGAUUUAAUUGAG
This 454-nucleotide long non-coding RNA is filed under the name Rosa chinensis. RNAcentral describes it as "sRNA RchiOBHm_Chr7g0238381". Lineage: Eukaryota; Viridiplantae; Streptophyta; Magnoliopsida; Rosales; Rosaceae. The record is from RNAcentral.